RNAcentral lists this ribosomal RNA (750 nucleotides) under uncultured bacterium. RNAcentral's name for it is "bacterial SSU rRNA". It matches the Rfam family "Bacterial small subunit ribosomal RNA", at positions 28 to 776 of the family's 1533-position model. The record is from RNAcentral.
AUUGAACGCUGGCGGCAGGCUUAACACAUGCAAGUCGAACGAUGAAGAUAUAGCUUGCUAUAUCGGAUUAGUGGCGGACGGGUGAGUAACACUUAGGAAUCUACCUUUUAGCGGGGGAUAGCUCGGGGAAACUCGAAUUAAUACCCCAUAAUUUCUACGGAAUAAAGAGGGCUUUUAGCUCUCACUAGAAGAUGAGCCUAAGUAAGAUUAGCUAGUUGGUGGGGUAAAAGCCUACCAAGGCGACGAUCUUUAGCUGGUCUGAGAGGAUGAUCAGCCACACUGGGACUGAGACACGGCCCAGACUCCUACGGGAGGCAGCAGUGGGGAAUAUUGGACAAUGGGGGCAACCCUGAUCCAGCCAUGCCGCGUGUGUGAAGAAGGCCUUUUGGUUGUAAAGCACUUUAAGCAGUGAAGAAGACCUAUUGGUUAAUACCCAAUAGCGAUGACAUUAACUGCAGAAUAAGCACCGGCUAACUCUGUGCCAGCAGCCGCGGUAAUACAGAGGGUGCAAGCGUUAAUCGGAAUUACUGGGCGUAAAGCGAGCGUAGGUGGUUAAAUAAGUCAGAUGUGAAAGCCCUGGGCUCAACCUAGGAACGGCAUCUGAAACUAUUUAACUAGAGUAGGUGAGAGGGAAGUAGAAUUUCAGGUGUAGCGGUGAAAUGCGUAGAGAUCUGAAGGAAUACCGAUGGCGAAGGCAGCUUCCUGGCAUCAUACUGACACUGAGGCUCGAAAGCGUGGGUAGCAAACAGG